Molecule: ribosomal RNA, 156 nt
Filed under: uncultured Pseudomonadota bacterium
Lineage: Bacteria; Pseudomonadati; Pseudomonadota
Description: uncultured proteobacterium partial 16S ribosomal RNA
Rfam family: Bacterial small subunit ribosomal RNA
Source: RNAcentral
GGGACUGAGACACGGCCCAAACUCCUACGGGAGGCAGCAGUGGGGAAUCUUGCACAAUGGAGGAAACUCUGAUGCAGCGAUGCCGCGUGAGUGAAGAAGGCCUUUGGGUUGUAAAGCUCUUUCGUCGGGGAAGAAAAUGACUGUACCCGAAUAAGA